Molecule: long non-coding RNA, 2390 nt
Filed under: Hordeum vulgare
Lineage: Eukaryota; Viridiplantae; Streptophyta; Magnoliopsida; Poales; Poaceae
Description: long non-coding RNA (HVUL_LNC012366)
Source: RNAcentral
GAGCAGAAAGAACAUGUGAAAUUCAUCAAAUUAACACGAAGGUAGUAUAUUACAAUUUUUCCAAUCUGUUACAAAGCAGAUAUGCCUAUUAUUAUAAUAUAUAAUAUGCAUUCUUGGAUAAGUAGAGCUUCACACAAUUGGCUUCAAGGCUUCGCACUUCAACUUUCUUAGGCCUGGAGGUCCUGUAGAAGAAACAACCAUAUUUUUAAGAGCUACAAGAUAUAGAUCAAGAAUAGAAACAAGGCACAAAAACUGCAUAACAGUUACAAUAUAGCUAUUUGUUUUAGUUCGUACUACUACUGUAAUCGAUGCAAAAAAAACAUACUACUACUGUAAUUGACAUAAAACCUUGAAAGAGACAAGCAGAAGUCAAAAAAUAUUUUUAGAACAGAUAUUUGCAUUAAAAUUAGGCAUUAAAAAUAAUGGACACAAAUAUUUGCAUUAAAGAUUAGGCAUUGCACACCCGGCAGAAAGAGACAAGCAGAAGUCAAAACAUAUUUUUAGAACAGCUCACGACUACCAACAAUAAUGUAAAAUCCAGAUCCUACAUCUUCAUCCAUUUGGAUGUUGGCAUCAUAGCAUGCUUUGCUCAACCAUAGAAUGCUUUCCAUGAUGGAAAGAGACUCUACAGCAAUAACACAAUAGACAACCAGGAAGCAUCAAACUUAACUGCAAAAUUAAAGAAUAGGUGCAAGAUAAUGAAUAUUUGAUCCAGUGUCAGCCUAUUCAUGAAAACACAAUAGCUGACUAAUUCUCUUUGACAAUAACACAGAUGUAAAAAUAUAUACUGCAAUAUAUGUUACUACCGAAUAUAUAUACCUGAACAGAGUUCUUCUUUUCGACCGUCAAGCUGCGAAGCAGUCUGAUCAUCUUCUGUAAUGGCAAAUGUCACUGGCGUCAGCUGAUAUCACAAGAGAGCUACACUUUCAAUCAUUUUAGAUGGACAACUGCAUAAAUAAAAAAUGCAUAUACCAGACUCGGGGACUGACGAUUGAUUCUCGGUAGCAGUCAAAUGUUUGCUGGUGCUAGCAUUUCCACGGGUUACUGGGUCAUGCAUGAGAUGAGAAUUUGCAAAGUCAGAAGGGGAGGUCGUCUAUCUUUUGCGGGUCAGCGGUCUGGCACAUGGACCGGAUCAAGGGCACGGCCUAUGGGAGCAGUUCUAGUGCAGUUUGGACACAGAAGGAAUAGUAUCUGUUGGGAUCUUCUUGCAGUUUGCGCAUCAGAAUACUCGAGGUCAACAACUUGUCAGAAGUUAUCGAAAUGUCAGAUCGUGGAUGGAUCUGUCUUAGCAAAGACUUGAAGUUGAGGACUAAUAAUGGACGGGGUACAGCGACAAGUCAAUUGUCACAGCUCAUACAUCCCAAUAAGACUUGAUUGUCAGAUUUAGAACAUUGAUUAAUGGCGAUUUUUACCAGAAUAACUACGUUUACUUGACCAAUAUCAAGAAGACUUGAACUAUAAUUGUUGGAACUCAUGUGGAAGGGAAACCUUCAAAAUCAGAACUAGUAAAGUGCAUCACUAUUUAUUGUAUAAUAAAGUCUGUACAUAUUCCACUUUCUGCAUGGAAACUUUAGAGUUUGGGUAUUGUUUUUAAUUUCAGAUGGCUAAAAGAGGUGAUUAUGGUGGGCAAUGUUGUCAAUGUGUAAAUCGUCACGCUCAUGUGUUUUUAGCAUAUGCCAUACUGCAACCAAGUCCUAGCCCUAAUCGACAUGCUUUGUUGUUAUCGGUAAUGAAACCAGUCAAAAACAGUAAGUCAUUAAUCCCACUUGUUCUCUGGUAAAAUAACUGCAACUGGUGUAUAACGUUCCACCUAACAAAAUGCAAAUGUCGAAAUCAAAAUUUGAACACAGUUGAGCAUCAGUGCACCACGUUGUUGAUUUCUGGAGUGUAAUGACAGCACAUUAUGAUCUCCAUUUGGGAAACGGCAAAAAGACCAGCAUAGUCAAGCUUGGAUCACUUUGUUUAGCUAAUCACCUAACCUAAGCAAGUAGCAUAACAGUGUGUCAAGUCCAUUUGCAAUAUCCACUAGUACACUGUAUAUGAGACUAAAAUAAUUCAUUGGAAGCUUUAGAAUUCACAUAACAUUGAAUUUCACUAUCAAAUUCGCAAGAACUUUACAGUUGCAAGACAGCAGUUACGAUAGUGAGAAAACAAGCAAUUUUCUGACCCAAAAGGAAGCAAGCAAAAAAAAACACACCUUUGGAACGAGAGUGACCGAGACGGCAUCAGCGAGCUUGUGGAUGUCGGUGGCGAGCCCGCGCCAGCAAGCGUCGCCGGUGGAUAUCACCUUGACGUCCGCAAUGCAUCAUGGUUGUCGGACCUAAUUGAGAAGGAGGCUCGGCAGUGGCCGCUGGAACUCUACCAGCGUCGCUAUACUUGACUAAUGGGUU